UCGUAUACGCUUAAAUUAACAUAAUACACAGUUAACUAAAUAUAGUACAUAAUUAAAUUAAUACGGUACAUAAUUAAAUUAACAUGAUAUACAGUUAAAUUAACAGUGCACACAGUUAAAUGAAUAUUGUACAUAGUUAAAUUAACACUGUACAUAGAUAAAUAAAUAUUAUAUAUAAUUAAUUUAUUAUUAUAUAUAAUUAUAUAUAUGGUACAUAAGUAAUUUGCCACU
This 231-nucleotide long non-coding RNA is filed under the name Elaeis guineensis (African oil palm). RNAcentral's name for it is "long non-coding RNA (EGUI_LNC010992)". The record is from RNAcentral. Lineage: Eukaryota; Viridiplantae; Streptophyta; Magnoliopsida; Arecales; Arecaceae.